RNAcentral lists this ribosomal RNA (486 nucleotides) under uncultured bacterium. Its description in RNAcentral is "bacterial SSU rRNA". It matches the Rfam family "Bacterial small subunit ribosomal RNA", at positions 30 to 530 of the family's 1533-position model. The record is from RNAcentral.
AUUGAACGCUGGCGGCAUGCUUUACACAUGCAAGUCGAACGGUAACAGGGACUUCGGUCUGCUGACGAGUGGCGAACGGGUGAGUAACAUAUCGGAGCGUGCCCAGUAAAGUGGGGGAUAGCUCGGCGAAAGCCGGAUUAAUACCGCAUACGCCCUGGAGGGGGAAAGUGGGGGAUCUUCGGACCUCACGUUAUUGGAGCGGCCGAUAUCAGAUUAGCUAGUUGGUGGGGUAAAGGCCUACCAAGGCGACGAUCUGUAGCUGGUCUGAGAGGAUGAUCAGCCACACUGGAACUGAGACACGGUCCAGACUCCUACGGGAGGCAGCAGUGGGGAAUAUGCGCAAUGGCGAAAGCCUGACGCAGCAACGCCGCGUGGUGAAGAAGGUCUUCGGAUCGUAAAGACCUGUCAGGAGGGACGAAACAAAUGACGGUACCUCCAAAGGAAGACACUGGCUAACUCCGUGCCAGCAGCCGCGGUAAUGUGACU